Molecule: long non-coding RNA, 196 nt
Organism: Hyalella azteca
Lineage: Eukaryota; Metazoa; Arthropoda; Malacostraca; Amphipoda; Hyalellidae
Exons: 3
Source: RefSeq, a predicted model, not a curated record
GCUGUUGGUGGAAGUUGACGCUUUUUCCGGAUCCAGUCGCAUUCCUGUGCUUUAUUUAGACAUAGAGCCAGAAGACGGGGUGUACCAUAUCUUCCUUAUGGAAACCUCGUCAAGAAGUACAAUCACUCCAAGAGCUCUGUGUGUCAUAGAAAGUUGGUGCUCGCUUAACCCGAGUGCGGUUGUCUGGUUUCUGGUG